UAGGGUAUAGCAUAAUUAUUAAUGCAUUUUAUUUACACUAAAAAUAAAGUUUUUUAGACUUACUCUAA
This 68-nucleotide transfer RNA is filed under the name Lepidozona coreanica. Its description in RNAcentral is "tRNA-Val". Lineage: Eukaryota; Metazoa; Mollusca; Polyplacophora; Chitonida; Ischnochitonidae. The record is from RNAcentral.